GAUGAACGCUAGCUACAGGCUUAACACAUGCAAGUCGAGGGGCAGCAUUUUAGUUUGCUUGCAAACUGAAGAUGGCGACCGGCGCACGGGUGAGUAACACGUAUCCAACCUGCCGAUAACUCCGGGAUAGCCUUUCGAAAGAAAGAUUAAUACCGGAUAGCAUACGAAUAUCGCAUGAUAUUUUUAUUAAAGAAUUUCGGUUAUCGAUGGGGAUGCGUUCCAUUAGUUUGUUGGCGGGGUAACGGCCCACCAAGACAACGAUGGAUAGGGGUUCUGAGAGGAAGGUCCCCCACAUUGGAACUGAGACACGGUCCAAACUCCUACGGGAGGCAGCAGUGAGGAAUAUUGGUCAAUGGGCGAGAGCCUGAACCAGCCAAGUAGCGUGAAGGAUGAAGGCUCUAUGGGUCGUAAACUUCUUUUAUAUGGGAAUAAAGUAUUCCACGUGUGGAAUUU
This 453-nucleotide ribosomal RNA is filed under the name uncultured bacterium. RNAcentral describes it as "bacterial SSU rRNA". It matches the Rfam family "Bacterial small subunit ribosomal RNA", at positions 28 to 469 of the family's 1533-position model. The record is from RNAcentral.